This 221-nucleotide ribosomal RNA is filed under the name uncultured bacterium. Its description in RNAcentral is "partial 16S ribosomal RNA". It matches the Rfam family "Bacterial small subunit ribosomal RNA", at positions 1282 to 1500 of the family's 1533-position model. The record is from RNAcentral.
ACCAUCUCAGUUCGGAUUGCAGGCUGCAACUCGCCUGCAUGAAGCUGGAAUUGCUAGUAAUCGCGGAUCAGCAAGCCGCGGUGAAUACGUUCCCGGGCCUUGUACACACCGCCCGUCACACCAUGAGUAGUCGGGAACACCCGAAGUCCGUAGUCUAACCGCAAGGGGGGCGCGGCCGAAGGUGGGUCCGGUAAUUGGGGGUGAAGUCGUAACAAGGUAAC